GACGAACGCUGGCGGCGUGCUUAACACAUGCAAGUCGAACGGUAAGGCCCUUCGGGGUACACGAGUGGCGAACGGGUGAGUAACACGUGGGUGAUCUGCCCUGCACUUCGGGAUAAGCCUGGGAAACUGGGUCUAAUACCGGAUAGGACUCCGGACUGCAUGGUCUGGGGUGGAAAGCUUUUGCGGUGUGGGAGGGGCCCGGGGCCUAUCAGCUUGUUGGGGGGGUGAUGGCCUACCAAGGAAACGACGGGUAGGCGGCCUGGGAGGGGGACCGGCCACACUGGGACUGAGAUACGGCCCAGACUCCUACGGGAGGCAGCAGUGGGGAAUAUUGCACAAUGGGCGCAAGCCUGAUGCAGCGACGCCGCGUGAGGGAUGACGGCCUUCGGGUUGUAAACCUCUUUCAGCACAGACGAAGCGCAAGUGACGGUAUGUGCAGAAGAAGGACCGGCCAACUACGUGCCAGCAGCCGCCGUAA
This 478-nucleotide ribosomal RNA is filed under the name uncultured bacterium. RNAcentral describes it as "partial 16S ribosomal RNA". It matches the Rfam family "Bacterial small subunit ribosomal RNA", at positions 28 to 523 of the family's 1533-position model. The record is from RNAcentral.